This 466-nucleotide ribosomal RNA is filed under the name uncultured bacterium. RNAcentral describes it as "partial 16S ribosomal RNA". It matches the Rfam family "Bacterial small subunit ribosomal RNA", at positions 28 to 507 of the family's 1533-position model. The record is from RNAcentral.
GAUGAACGCUGGCGGCGUGCUUAACACAUGCAAGUCGAACGAUGACGCCCAGCUUGCUGGGUGGUUUAGUGGCGAACGGGUGAGUAACACGUGAGUAACCUGCCCUUCACUCUGGGAUAAGCCUGGGAAACUGGGUCUAAUCCCGGAUAGGAUCGUCCACCGCAUGGUGGGUGUUGGACAUAUUUAUCGGUUUUGGAUGGACUCGCGGCCUAUCAGCUUGUUGGUUAGUUAAUGGCUCACCAAGGCGACGACGGGUAGCCGGCAUGAGAGGGUGACCGGCGACACGGGGACUGAGAGACGGCGCAGACUGCUACGGGAGGCAGCAGGGGGGAAUAUUGCACAAUGGGCGCAAGCCUGAUGCAGCGACGCCGCGUGAGGGAUGACGGCCUUCGGGUGGUAAACCUCGUUCAGUAGGGAAGAAGCGAAAGUGACGGUACCUGCAGAAGAAGCACCGGCUAACUACGUG